UCUGCAACUCGACUACAUGAAGCUGGAAUCGCUAGUAAUCGCGAAUCAGAAUGUCGCGGUGAAUACGUUCCCGGGUCUUGUACACACCGCCCGUCACACCAUGGGAGUUGGCAACGCCCGAAGUCAGUGACCCAACCAUAAAGGAGGGAGCUGCCGAAGGCGGGGCUGAUAACUGGGGUGAAGUCGUAACAAGGUAGC
This 198-nucleotide ribosomal RNA is filed under the name uncultured bacterium. RNAcentral's name for it is "partial 16S ribosomal RNA". It matches the Rfam family "Bacterial small subunit ribosomal RNA", at positions 1304 to 1500 of the family's 1533-position model. The record is from RNAcentral.